RNAcentral lists this long non-coding RNA (317 nucleotides) under Taeniopygia guttata (zebra finch). RNAcentral describes it as "lncRNA (ENSTGUG00000024267.1)". Lineage: Eukaryota; Metazoa; Chordata; Aves; Passeriformes; Estrildidae. The record is from RNAcentral.
CAUGGCCCCACUGGAGAUACCCAAAUUGACUCAGAUUCCCUCAAGACAGAUCAGAAUGAGGUUGUAUAUGGGCCAGAUAAAUUUUCCCCAUGGAUUACAUUUGUUGGUCAUCUGGUAAAGAAGCAGACUUCCCAGGUGACUCCUUUCAUCUGUGCUCUGGGGACACACUGUUGAAAGCUAAUGCCAAAUGGGCGGUGCUGCUGCUGUCUCUGAAGAAAACUGUUUUCUAUCAGGUUAUGUGCUCUUCUGUCCUGAAAGCAAAUAGGUCCCCAACAGCAGAACAAAUACUCCUCUCCUCCUGAAACACAGCUCUCAGC